GACGAACGCUGGCGGCGUGCUUAACACAUGCAAGUCGAACGGAAAGGCCUGCUUUCCCUUGUGGAUUGCGGGUACUCGAGUGGCGAACGGGUGAGUAACACGUGAGUGAUCUGCCCCCAACUUGGGUAUAAGCCUGGGAAACUGGGUCUAAUUCCCGAUAGGGCUGCAGGGUGGUGCCUGUGGUGGAAAACGAUUUUCUAGUGGUUGGGGAUGAGCUCGCGGCCUAUCAGCUUGUUGGUGGGGUAAUGGCCUACCAAGGCGGCGACGGGUAGCCGGCCUGAGAGGGUGGACGGCCACAUUGGGACUGAGAUACGGCCCAGACGCCUACGGGAGGCAGCAGUGGGGAAUAUUGCACAAUGGGCGGAAGCCUGAUGCAGCGACGCCGCGUGGGGGAUGACGGCCUUCGGGUUGUAAACUCCUUUCGACCGCGAGGAAGCCACCUGGGUGGAGGGGUGGUGACGGUAGUGGUAGAAGAAGCACCGGCUAACUACGUG
This 494-nucleotide ribosomal RNA is filed under the name uncultured bacterium. RNAcentral describes it as "partial 16S ribosomal RNA". It matches the Rfam family "Bacterial small subunit ribosomal RNA", at positions 28 to 507 of the family's 1533-position model. The record is from RNAcentral.